UUAAGCGACUAAGCGUACACGGUGGAUGCCCUGGCAGUCAGAGGCGAUGAAGGACGUGCUAAUCUGCGAUAAGCGUCGGUAAGGUGAUAUGAACCGUUAUAACCGGCGAUUUCCGAAUGGGGAAACCCAGUGUGAUUCGUCACACUAUCAUUAACUGAAUCCAUAGGUUAAUGAGGCGAACCGGGGGAACUGAAACAUCUAAGUACCCCGAGGAAAAGAAAUCAACCGAGAUUCCCCCAGUAGCGGCGAGCGAACGGGGAGCAGCCCAGAGCCUGAAUCAGUGUGUGUGUUAGUGGAAGCGUCUGGAAAGGCGCGCGAUACAGGGUGACAGCCCCGUACACAAAAAUGCACAUGCUGUGAGCUCGAUGAGUAGGGCGGGACACGUGGUAUCCUGUCUGAAUAUGGGGGGACCAUCCUCCAAGGCUAAAUACUCCUGACUGACCGAUAGUGAACCAGUACCGUGAGGGAAAGGCGAAAAGAACCCCGGCGAGGGGAGUGAAAAAGAACCUGAAACCGUGUACGUACAAGCAGUGGGAGCACGCUUAGGCGUGUGACUGCGUACCUUUUGUAUAAUGGGUCAGCGACUUAUAUUCUGUAGCAAGGUUAACCGAAUAGGGGAGCCGAAGGGAAACCGAGUCUUAACUGGGCGUUAAGUUGCAGGGUAUAGACCCGAAACCCGGUGAUCUAGCCAUGGGCAGGUUGAAGGUUGGGUAACACUAACUGGAGGACCGAACCGACUAAUGUUGAAAAAUUAGCGGAUGACUUGUGGCUGGGGGUGAAAGGCCAAUCAAACCGGGAGAUAGCUGGUUCUCCCCGAAAGCUAUUUAGGUAGCGCCUCGUGAAUUCAUCUCCGGGGGUAGAGCACUGUUUCGGCAAGGGGGUCAUCCCGACUUACCAACCCGAUGCAAACUGCGAAUACCGGAGAAUGUUAUCACGGGAGACACACGGCGGGUGCUAACGUCCGUCGUGAAGAGGGAAACAACCCAGACCGCCAGCUAAGGUCCCAAAGUCAUGGUUAAGUGGGAAACGAUGUGGGAAGGCCCAGACAGCCAGGAUGUUGGCUUAGAAGCAGCCAUCAUUUAAAGAAAGCGUAAUAGCUCACUGGUCGAGUCGGCCUGCGCGGAAGAUGUAACGGGGCUAAACCAUGCACCGAAGCUGCGGCAGCGACGCUUAUGCGUUGUUGGGUAGGGGAGCGUUCUGUAAGCCUGCGAAGGUGUGCUGUGAGGCAUGCUGGAGGUAUCAGAAGUGCGAAUGCUGACAUAAGUAACGAUAAAGCGGGUGAAAAGCCCGCUCGCCGGAAGACCAAGGGUUCCUGUCCAACGUUAAUCGGGGCAGGGUGAGUCGACCCCUAAGGCGAGGCCGAAAGGCGUAGUCGAUGGGAAACAGGUUAAUAUUCCUGUACUUGGUGUUACUGCGAAGGGGGGACGGAGAAGGCUAUGUUGGCCGGGCGACGGUUGUCCCGGUUUAAGCGUGUAGGCUGGUUUUCCAGGCAAAUCCGGAAAACUAAGGCUGAGGCGUGAUGACGAGGCACUACGGUGCUGAAGCAACAAAUGCCCUGCUUCCAGGAAAAGCCUCUAAGCAUCAGGUAACAUCAAAUCGUACCCCAAACCGACACAGGUGGUCAGGUAGAGAAUACCAAGGCGCUUGAGAGAACUCGGGUGAAGGAACUAGGCAAAAUGGUGCCGUAACUUCGGGAGAAGGCACGCUGAUAUGUAGGUGAAGUCCCUCGCGGAUGGAGCUGAAAUCAGUCGAAGAUACCAGCUGGCUGCAACUGUUUAUUAAAAACACAGCACUGUGCAAACACGAAAGUGGACGUAUACGGUGUGACGCCUGCCCGGUGCCGGAAGGUUAAUUGAUGGGGUCAGCGCAAGCGAAGCUCUUGAUCGAAGCCCCGGUAAACGGCGGCCGUAACUAUAACGGUCCUAAGGUAGCGAAAUUCCUUGUCGGGUAAGUUCCGACCUGCACGAAUGGCGUAAUGAUGGCCAGGCUGUCUCCACCCGAGACUCAGUGAAAUUGAACUCGCUGUGAAGAUGCAGUGUACCCGCGGCAAGACGGAAAGACCCCGUGAACCUUUACUAUAGCUUGACACUGAACAUUGAGCCUUGAUGUGUAGGAUAGGUGGGAGGCUUUGAAGUGUGGACGCCAGUCUGCAUGGAGCCGACCUUGAAAUACCACCCUUUAAUGUUUGAUGUUCUAACGUUGACCCGUAAUCCGGGUUGCGGACAGUGUCUGGUGGGUAGUUUGACUGGGGCGGUCUCCUCCUAAAGAGUAACGGAGGAGCACGAAGGUUGGCUAAUCCUGGUCGGACAUCAGGAGGUUAGUGCAAUGGCAUAAGCCAGCUUGACUGCGAGCGUGACGGCGCGAGCAGGUGCGAAAGCAGGUCAUAGUGAUCCGGUGGUUCUGAAUGGAAGGGCCAUCGCUCAACGGAUAAAAGGUACUCCGGGGAUAACAGGCUGAUACCGCCCAAGAGUUCAUAUCGACGGCGGUGUUUGGCACCUCGAUGUCGGCUCAUCACAUCCUGGGGCUGAAGUAGGUCCCAAGGGUAUGGCUGUUCGCCAUUUAAAGUGGUACGCGAGCUGGGUUUAGAACGUCGUGAGACAGUUCGGUCCCUAUCUGCCGUGGGCGCUGGAGAACUGAGGGGGGCUGCUCCUAGUACGAGAGGACCGGAGUGGACGCAUCACUGGUGUUCGGGUUGUCAUGCCAAUGGCACUGCCCGGUAGCUAAAUGCGGAAGAGAUAAGUGCUGAAAGCAUCUAAGCACGAAACUUGCCCCGAGAUGAGUUCUCCCUGACUCCUUGAGAGUCCUGAAGGAACGUUGAAGACGACGACGUUGAUAGGCCGGGUGUGUAAGCGCAGCGAUGCGUUGAGCUAACCGGUACUAAUGAACCGUGAGGCUUAACCUU
Molecule: ribosomal RNA, 2902 nt
Filed under: Escherichia coli
Lineage: Bacteria; Pseudomonadati; Pseudomonadota; Gammaproteobacteria; Enterobacterales; Enterobacteriaceae
Description: 23S ribosomal RNA
Rfam family: Bacterial large subunit ribosomal RNA
Source: RNAcentral